AGAAUAAAAUCGAGGCGUCGCUUUUUUUUUUUUAAGGGUGAUCGCGUCGGAAUUGAGCCGUCUUUCCAUGUCAAAGUGGCUUAAAAUUCAUCCAUCCGGUACGAUUAAAGCGUAUUUAAGAUCAAUUUUGAUUAAGAACGCGCGAUGACGUACCAUCUCAUGUAGUACGUUUGACCUGGCGUCGUCAGGAUCAUUCGUAUACGAUACUCAAC
RNAcentral lists this unclassified non-coding RNA (212 nucleotides) under Funneliformis mosseae. Its description in RNAcentral is "partial internal transcribed spacer 2". The record is from RNAcentral. Lineage: Eukaryota; Fungi; Glomeromycota; Glomeromycetes; Glomerales; Glomeraceae.